CAGGGCUGGAGGGAGCAGCGCGAGGAAGGAGUGAGAUCAGGGCCUGCUUUCUGUCCACCGAGGGGCACCAGUGUACCGCCAGGAGGGCCCAGGAUGAGGCGCCAGCGUGGCUCUGUCCAGGCCAACUCAAGUAUCUACCUAUAAUCAUUCUCAAGCCCCCUGGCAGGAAGGCACUCUCCCUCCACCUCCACGUCGGUGGUCCCUCCCUCACAGGGUCCUCCCUCACCAGUCAGACCUCCUAGUGUGGCCACGCGGCCCCAAGCUUGCCCCAUGCUCACACUUAGCACAGUCCCCUAGUCACGAUCGAGUUGCCAUAGUCCCCAGCGACCACCUUCCAAGGUCAGAGACAAGUGAUUAGGACUCCAGCAACACAGACUCCAAUGCCCGAGGCCGGUGGUAUCCAGGAGCCCAAAGUGCAGCCCCGCUAACAGAAACUACAAGGGCACCCACACCCAGAGUGCAUUCGCCGAAUAGAACAUACUACCGGAAGCAGGAAUGAGAAGGCUAUGGCAGUCGAUGAGAAGCAGAUGCCCAAUGGAAUAAGAGUCGGAAAAGCCUUUAGAGAGCACCUAGCUCACGCCCUCACUUUGUAAGAUUGGAAACUGAGACUAGCAUAUGGAAAUUAUUUUUCCAAGGUCACAAGACAUCUCGCACCUUUUGCACGUCAGCUCCACGUGUUUGACCUUGGUCCUUGAGGACCCAGUGGUCACGCCACUACCGCAGGCUCACUCCCUUGACUGCCACUCAGGCUCCUCCUGCUGCCUUUCCCAAGGAGUAGCCUUGUGUCAUGAUCGUGGACAUUAGUGUGAUUUUGCUACUAACUUGCUGGGCAGUCUUGUUCAUCUCUCUAAUUCUCCUUCUCUGAGAGCGAGAUCUGGUGCCUGCACAGAGGCCGGAGCGAUUUCUGGGUAAGAAAAUGGCAGACCCCAGGGACGACUCAGUGAAUGCCAAUUCUGUCUUCUUCCUCCCGGUUCUUGGGAAAUGUUCUUGCGCCUCUGUCCUUUCCUUGGCUCCUAGAAACUCGUAAAGACUACUUAGAAGGGCCUCCGGGGGCCUUUUUGGCCCACUCUCCCAAACAUGCCCUCCAUCCGAGCUCCUGAGGAAGGCAUCCUGCCUCUAACUCACACCAGCAGGUAAAGGCAGGUGGGAACCUCCCCACUGUGCCUGGGAUCUAACCCGACACUUCUUGCUACAAUUUAGGGAUGAAGCCGCCUUCCUUAUUUUGCCCUCCAGAAGGAUGAAAAAAACUCCAUUUUCUGUCCUCCAUCA
Long non-coding RNA from Suricata suricatta (meerkat), 1269 nucleotides. RefSeq lists it as uncharacterized. NCBI's taxonomy places the organism in Eukaryota, Metazoa, Chordata, Mammalia, Carnivora, Herpestidae. The transcript has 4 exons. The record is from RefSeq and is a predicted model, not a curated record.